AUUGAACGCUGGCGGCAGGCCUAACACAUGCAAGUCGAGCGGAUGAAGGGAGCUUGCUCCUGGAUUCAGCGGCGGACGGGUGAGUAAUGCCUAGGAAUCUGCCUGGUAGUGGGGGAUAACGUCCGGAAACGAGCGCUAAUACCGCAUACGUCCUGAGGGAGAAAGUGGGGGAUCUUCGGACCUCACGCUAUCAGAUGAGCCUAGGUCGGAUUAGCUAGUUGGUGGGGUAAAGGCCUACCAAGGCGACGAUCCGUAACUGGUCUGAGAGGAUGAUCAGUCACACUGGAACUGAGACACGGUCCAGACUCCUACGGGAGGCAGCAGUGGGGAAUAUUGGACAAUGGGCGAAAGCCUGAUCCAGCCAUGCCGCGUGUGUGAAGAAGGUCUUCGGAUUGAAAAGCACUUUAAGUUGGGAGGAAGGGCAGUAAGUUAAUACCUUGCUGUUUUGACGUUACCAACAGAAUAAGCACCGGCUAACUUCGUG
Molecule: ribosomal RNA, 484 nt
Filed under: uncultured bacterium
Lineage: Bacteria
Description: partial 16S ribosomal RNA
Rfam family: Bacterial small subunit ribosomal RNA
Source: RNAcentral